This 82-nucleotide transfer RNA is filed under the name Colletotrichum spaethianum. It matches the Rfam family "tRNA". Rfam says of the family: Transfer RNA (tRNA) molecules are approximately 80 nucleotides in length. Their secondary structure includes four short double-helical elements and three loops (D, anti-codon, and T loops). Further hydrogen bonds mediate the characteristic L-shaped molecular structure. tRNAs have two regions of fundamental functional importance: the anti-codon, which is responsible for specific mRNA codon recognition, and the 3' end, to which the tRNAs corresponding amino acid is attached (by aminoacyl-tRNA synthetases). tRNAs cope with the degeneracy of the genetic code in two manners: having more than one tRNA (with a specific anti-codon) for a particular amino acid; and 'wobble' base-pairing, i.e. permitting non-standard base-pairing at the 3rd anti-codon position. Lineage: Eukaryota; Fungi; Ascomycota; Sordariomycetes; Glomerellales; Glomerellaceae. RNAcentral also lists the same sequence under 5 other names. The record is from Rfam by way of RNAcentral.
GGCAAGAUGGCCGAGCGGUCUAAGGCGCUAGCUUCAGGUGCUAGUCAAGCAAUUGGCGUGGGUUCGAAUCCCACUCUUGUCA